This is a long non-coding RNA of Drosophila innubila, 85 nucleotides long. RefSeq lists it as uncharacterized. The record is from RefSeq and is a predicted model, not a curated record. The transcript has 4 exons. NCBI's taxonomy places the organism in Eukaryota, Metazoa, Arthropoda, Insecta, Diptera, Drosophilidae.
UUGUGUUGCCUUUAUGUUCUGCUCUUUGUUUACAAUUCCAGCCUGUGAAAGUUUACAUUAUUGGAAUGGGGAAUUUGGUGUCUAG